UACGGGGGGGGCAAGCGUUGUUCGGAAUUACUUGGCGUAAAGGGUGCGUAGGUGGCGCUGUAAGUCGGGUGUGAAAUUUCGGAGCUUAACUCCGAAACUGCAUUCGAUACUGCGGUGCUUGAGGACUGGAGAGGAGACUGGAAUUCAUGGUGUAGCAGUGAAAUGCGUAGAGAUCAUGAGGAAGACCAGUGGCGAAGGCGGGUCUCUGGACAGUUCCUGACACUGAGGCACGAAGGCCAGGGGAGCAAACGGG
RNAcentral lists this ribosomal RNA (253 nucleotides) under uncultured bacterium. RNAcentral's name for it is "partial 16S ribosomal RNA". It matches the Rfam family "Bacterial small subunit ribosomal RNA", at positions 524 to 776 of the family's 1533-position model. The record is from RNAcentral.